RNAcentral lists this ribosomal RNA (497 nucleotides) under uncultured bacterium. Its description in RNAcentral is "partial 16S ribosomal RNA". It matches the Rfam family "Bacterial small subunit ribosomal RNA", at positions 28 to 507 of the family's 1533-position model. The record is from RNAcentral.
GAUGAACGCUGGCGGCGUGCCUAAUACAUGCAAGUCGAGCGAACAGACGAGGAGCUUGCUCCUCUGACGUUAGCGGCGGACGGGUGAGUAACACGUGGAUAACCUACCUAUAAGACUGGGAUAACUUCGGGAAACCGGAGCUAAUACCGGAUAAUAUAUUGAACCGCAUGGUUCAAUAGUGAAAGACGGUUUUGCUGUCACUUAUAGAUGGAUCCGCGCCGCAUUAGCUAGUUGGUAAGGUAACAGCUUACCAAGGCAACGAUGCGUAGCCGACCUGAGAGGGUGAUCGGCCACACUGGAACUGAGACACGGUCCAGACUCCUACGGGAGGCAGCAGUAGGGAAUCUUCCGCAAUGGGCGAAAGCCUGACGGAGCAACGCUGCGUGAGUGAUGAAGGUCUUCGGAUCGUAAAACUCUGUUAUUAGGGAAGAACAAAUGUGUAAGUAACUAUGCACGUCUUGACGGUACCUAAUCAGAAAGCCACGGCUAACUACGUG